UACGUAGGGGGCAAGCGUUGUCCGGAUUUAUUGGGCGUAAAGAGCUCGUAGGCGGCUAUUCACGUCGGAUGUGAAAGCUCAAGGCUCAACCUUGAGAGGCCAUUCGAUACGGGAUAGCUAGAGGUAGGUAGGGGAGAUCGGAACUCCUGGUGUAGCGGUGAAAUGCGCAGAUAUCAGGAGGAACACCGAUGGCGAAGGCAGGUCUCUGGGCCGAUACUGACGCUGAGGAGCGAAAGCGUGGGGAGCGAACAGG
This 253-nucleotide ribosomal RNA is filed under the name uncultured bacterium. Its description in RNAcentral is "partial 16S ribosomal RNA". It matches the Rfam family "Bacterial small subunit ribosomal RNA", at positions 524 to 776 of the family's 1533-position model. The record is from RNAcentral.